RNAcentral lists this ribosomal RNA (254 nucleotides) under uncultured bacterium. Its description in RNAcentral is "partial 16S ribosomal RNA". It matches the Rfam family "Bacterial small subunit ribosomal RNA", at positions 524 to 776 of the family's 1533-position model. The record is from RNAcentral.
UACGGAGGGAGCUAGCGUUGUUCGGAAUUACUGGGCGUAAAGCGCACGUAGGCGGUUAUUCAAGUCAGAGGUGAAAGCCCGGGGCUCAACCCCGGAACUGCCUUUGAAACUAGAUGACUAGAAUCUUGGAGAGGUCAGUGGAAUUCCGAGUGUAGAGGUGAAAUUCGUAGAUAUUCGGAAGAACACCAGUGGCGAAGGCGACUGACUGGACAAGUAUUGACGCUGAGGUGCGAAAGCGUGGGGAGCAAAACAGG